Molecule: unclassified non-coding RNA, 94 nt
Filed under: Halpernia frigidisoli
Lineage: Bacteria; Pseudomonadati; Bacteroidota; Flavobacteriia; Flavobacteriales; Weeksellaceae
Description: Chryseobacterium frigidisoli Flavo-1 RNA
Source: RNAcentral
AUGCAGCCCGGCCUGAGUGGAACUCUUUUUUUCUGCUGGCUGAGCGAAGCCGAAGCUAGCAGAAAAAAAAGUGGGAACGGAGGACGGAAAUGUC